UUGACCUGGCGGGAGGGUCAUUG
RNAcentral lists this ribosomal RNA (23 nucleotides) under Musa ornata. Its description in RNAcentral is "partial 18S ribosomal RNA". Lineage: Eukaryota; Viridiplantae; Streptophyta; Magnoliopsida; Zingiberales; Musaceae. The record is from RNAcentral.